GGAGGAUGCGAGCGUUAUCCGGAUUUAUUGGGUUUAAAGGGAGCGCAGANGGANGNUUAAGUCAGUUGUGAAAGUUUGCGGCUCAACCGUAAAAUUGCANUUGAUACUGGCUAUCUUGAGUGCAGUUGAGGNAGGCGGAAUUCGUGGUGUAGCGGUGAAAUGCUUAGAUAUCACGAAGAACUCCGAUUGCGAAGGCAGCNUNCUAACCUGCAACUGACAUUGAUGCUCGAAAGUGUGGGUAUCAAACAGGAUUAGAUACCCUGGUAGUCCACACGGUAAACGAUGAAUACUCGCUGUUUGCGAUAUACAGCAAGCGGCCAAGCGAAAGCGUUAAGUAUUCCACCUGGGGAGU
This 352-nucleotide ribosomal RNA is filed under the name uncultured bacterium. RNAcentral's name for it is "bacterial SSU rRNA". It matches the Rfam family "Bacterial small subunit ribosomal RNA", at positions 527 to 881 of the family's 1533-position model. The record is from RNAcentral.